RNAcentral lists this microRNA (23 nucleotides) under Heligmosomoides polygyrus. RNAcentral describes it as "hpo-miR-10072a-5p". Lineage: Eukaryota; Metazoa; Nematoda; Chromadorea; Rhabditida; Heligmosomidae. The record is from miRBase by way of RNAcentral.
UAUACUUCCCGCCCACGGAACGG